Non-coding RNA from Acanthosepion pharaonis, 112 nucleotides. Lineage: Eukaryota; Metazoa; Mollusca; Cephalopoda; Sepiida; Sepiidae. The record is from the annotation of a GenBank genome assembly.
UGCAACUAUAUCACUUUGAAACACCAGUUCUCAUACGAUCACCGAAGUUAAGAAAUGCAAAGACUUGUCAGUACGUAGGCGGGUGACCACUUGGGAAUACCAAGUGCUGUAA